Molecule: ribosomal RNA, 437 nt
Filed under: uncultured bacterium
Lineage: Bacteria
Description: bacterial SSU rRNA
Rfam family: Bacterial small subunit ribosomal RNA
Source: RNAcentral
GAACGCGAAGAACCUUACCAAAUCUUGACAUACUCUUGAAUAGCUUUGUAAUGAAGCUGGACCUUCGGGACAAGGGAUACAGGUGGUGCAUGGUUGUCGUCAGCUCGUGUCGUGAGAUGUUGGGUUAAGUCCCGCAACGAGCGCAACCCCUAUCUUAUGUUGCCAGCACGUAAUGGUGGGAACUCAUGAGAGACUGCCGCAGACAAUGCGGAGGAAGGCGGGGAUGACGUCAAAUCAUCAUGCCCCUUAUGACCUGGGCUACACACGUACUACAAUGGGAGUUAAUAGACGGAAGCAAGAUCGCGAGAUGGAGCAAACCCGAGAAACACUCUCUCAGUUCGGAUCGUAGGCUGCAACUCGCCUACGUGAAGUCGGAAUCGCUAGUAAUCGCAGGUCAGCAUACUGCGGUGAAUACGUUCCCGGGUCUUGUACACACC